Long non-coding RNA from Homo sapiens (human), 547 nucleotides. NCBI's taxonomy places the organism in Eukaryota, Metazoa, Chordata, Mammalia, Primates, Hominidae. The record is from Ensembl.
CAUUCAGUGUUCUGUCUUGUCAUGAGGGUGGGGGAGUGGGAAGGACAAAGCACUGAUCCCCUUUGGUGAGUAUCACCCAGAGUACAGACAUUGCAGAAAGAUAAGAAGGCUUCUCUUUCUCCUCCAAUACAAUAAGGGACUUAAUUUCUGCACCUUCAGACCCCUUUCCUAUAUCAGAACACUCUGGAGCUGAACCAUACUUCAGAUUAGACUUUAUCUUCAUUCAGCAUCAGGAUCUGUAGGGGGAGAUGGCUUUCCUAGUGGCCAAAGGGGUCUGCUGCCCUGAGAUCAGAGACCCUGUGCCCUGAGUCUCCUGCCACCUUAAUUUCCAUUCACAGCUGAAGGCCAGGCCAGUACCACCUUUGCUGAAGCUCAAGACCUAUGUAUGUUCUCUUGAUUGUGUGUUGUCUCUCUGUAAAAAGAAGAUAUGACUCAUCUCUUUGAAAACCAAUUUAUGCUUUCUCUUUGGGGAGAGGGAUUGAUAUUAAAAGUGAAACUAGGAUUUUCAUUGGACAAAUAAUUUAAUAAAGUUAUAUUUUUAACUUUA